This 253-nucleotide ribosomal RNA is filed under the name uncultured bacterium. Its description in RNAcentral is "partial 16S ribosomal RNA". It matches the Rfam family "Bacterial small subunit ribosomal RNA", at positions 524 to 776 of the family's 1533-position model. The record is from RNAcentral.
UACAGAGGUCUCAAGCGUUGUUCGGAUUUAUUGGGCGUAAAGGGUGCGUAGGCGGCGCGGUAAGUCGGAUGUGAAAUCUCGGAGCUUAACUCCGAAACUGCAUUCGAUACUGCCGUGCUUGAGGACUGGAGAGGAGACUGGAAUUUACGGUGUAGCGGUGAAAUGCGUAGAUAUCGUAAGGAAGACCAGUGGCGAAGGCGGGUCUCUGGACAGUUCCUGACGCUGAGGCACGAAGGCCAGGGGAGCAAACGGG